UGCAGUCGAGCGGUAACAGGAAAGUGCUUGCACUUUUGCUGACGAGCGGCGGACGGGUGAGUAAUGCCUAGGGAUCUGCCCAGUCGAGGGGGAUAACAGUUGGAAACGACUGCUAAUACCGCAUACGCCCUACGGGGGAAAGGAGGGGACCUUCGGGCCUUUCGCGAUUGGAUGAACUUAGGUGGGAUUAGCUAGUUGGUAAGGUAAUGGCUUACCAAGGCGACGAUCCCUAGCUGUUCUGAGAGGAUGAUCAGCCACACUGGGACUGAGACACGGCCCAGACUCCUACGGGAGGCAGCAGUGGGGAAUAUUGCACAAUGGGGGAAACCCUGAUGCAGCCAUGCCGCGUGUGUGAAGAAGGCCCUAGGGUUGUAAAGCACUUUCAGCGAGGAGGAAAGGUAAGUAGUUAAUAACUGCUUACUGUGACGUUACUCGCAGAAGAAGGACCGGCUAACUCCGUGCCAGCAGCCGCGGUAAUACGGAGGGUCCGAGCGUUAAUCGGAAUUACUGGGCGUAAAGCGUGCGCAGGCGGUUCGUUAAGCCAGAUGUGAAAGCCCCGGGCUCAACCUGGGAAUAGCAUUUGGAACUGGCGAACUAGAGUCUUGU
This 606-nucleotide ribosomal RNA is filed under the name Shewanella sp. P9. RNAcentral describes it as "bacterial SSU rRNA". It matches the Rfam family "Bacterial small subunit ribosomal RNA", at positions 56 to 652 of the family's 1533-position model. Lineage: Bacteria; Pseudomonadati; Pseudomonadota; Gammaproteobacteria; Alteromonadales; Shewanellaceae. The record is from RNAcentral.